CUUGAUAUCUUACACAGACUACA
RNAcentral lists this microRNA (23 nucleotides) under Pristionchus pacificus. RNAcentral's name for it is "ppc-miR-8346-5p". Lineage: Eukaryota; Metazoa; Nematoda; Chromadorea; Rhabditida; Neodiplogasteridae. The record is from miRBase by way of RNAcentral.